AAUUUUGGACAAUGGGGGAAACCCUGAUCCAGCCAUCCCGCGUGUAUGAUGAAGGCCUUCGUGUUGUAAAGUACUUUUGGCAGAGAAGAAAAAGUAUCUCCUAAUACGAGAUACUGCUGACGGUAUCUGCCGAAUUAGCACCGUCUACCUACGUGACAGAAACCGCGGUAAUACGUAGGGUGCAAUCGUUAAUCGGAAUUACUGGGAGUAAAGCGUGUGUAGGCGGUUCGGAAAGAAAGAUGUGAAAUCCCAGGGCUCAACCUUGGAACUGCAUUUUUAACUGCCGAGCUAGAGUAUGUCAGAGGGGGGUAGAAUUCCACGUGUAGCAGUGAAAUGCGUAGAUAUGUGGAGGAAUACCGAUGGCGAAGGCAGCCCCCUGGGAUAAUACUGACGCUCAGACACGAAAGCGUGGGGAGCAAACAG
RNAcentral lists this ribosomal RNA (423 nucleotides) under uncultured bacterium. RNAcentral describes it as "partial 16S ribosomal RNA". It matches the Rfam family "Bacterial small subunit ribosomal RNA", at positions 360 to 775 of the family's 1533-position model. The record is from RNAcentral.